AUUUAUUUAAGAUAGCCCUCCAGGUCUAAUACUUAAAAUGCCAUCCAGUUACAGAAAUUGUUCAAAAGGAACUUCAGUUACACGUCUGUAGACUCUAAUAACUGAUCUUUACGUUUUCUUGAAGAUUUGAGUUCCAUAGAAAGAACCGGUCAAGUUACUGCGCUUUACCUAAUGCUGUUGCUCAAAACAUAUCGGAGUGGUACUUCAACAACAGAUCUUCAGGUAUUAUUAGAAAUGCAAAUUUACCUACAGUAAAGAGAAGCUUAGAAAAAUCAAGGAAUUGCUAGAAGAUGUAAUUAGGAGCAAUAUUACUCUGUACUACAGUUAACUUUGUUCCAUUGCCAGUUAGAGACUGAAACAACAGAGUAACAUUUCAGCUUAGAAAUUAAGCUGCUAAUGUAAACUAUCUGGAAAAGUCUAAAGUUACUGACCCCAGCUUGAAAUCCCAAAUUAAACUAAUUGCAUUUCUAUGCUCGACUCAAAAGGGAUUGCUUAUCCUGAGGAGUAAAGCCAAUCCCAAUUUUCCUGCAGUUUCUUUUUUAAGCUGCUGAGCUUAACAGCCUCCAACUUACAGAGUACAAGAGGCAAACAGAGCACAGGGAGAUACCAGUUUUAAUUACCAUACCUUUCACCAGUUCAUUUAUGAGUGUACGUAGGUAGUUGGUUUGUUUCUUUUUCCCUUCACACACUUGAACCACAUCUGCAAGGUCCUGACGCACAUCCUGAAGCAGCUUAGCUCCCAUUUUCACCUCUCUCUCAAAGAACCGGAACAAAGGAUCCUUAAUGUUUUCCACAGUUCGCUUCAGAUGAUUUAGAGUUUGUGGGAUAAGGUGAAGCCAGUUAGAAGCUGUGGUAUGCAGUGUUCUCAUCCAGGCUGGGCGACCAUCUGAUGUAGAAUCAGUUCUUGUCUUCUUCUCAGUUUCUGCAUAAGCUAGAUCAUCUUCAUCCUCCAGCAUCUGCAUUUUCAGCAUUUUACUGAUCAUAUCUAUGCCUUGCGUGGUGAGAAGAACUUUUUCUGCGUUAUUUGGCAGGCCUAGCCAUGAUGGCGUUUGAGUAUCUGGCAGCAUCUCAACCCACUGGACAAAUUCUUCACGUCUGAUCCCAUCUGGCAUCUGAAUAUCUUUGUGUCCAUCAACUUUGCAAGCCAGUUUGAAUUCGCUGUCAAAACUCAGAGUAGUAAACAGACGUUCCAAGAAAGUGUUUAACAAACGCUGAUCAAAUUCGUUAUCGAUGCGGCCUCCAUAGAUGGAUUGUGCCAUCAGUGUCUUUAAGGCAGACCAGGGGAUUUUAUCAGGUGAAAUGUUCUGGCGGCCCUUUGCUGUGUCAUCCAGCCACGUAUCUACUGUGUCACAGGCAGAUCUCAGAUCAGAUUCUCCAAAUUCAUACUUCUUGGACCAACCCAAUGGAGCAUAGCGCAAACGCUCUUGGAUAAUGGCAUGGAACCAGGCAAGCAGGAAAUAUAAACGAGCACGUUCAUUUGGAGACUUGCACAUUCUAGAUACUGGAAUGCUACUGAAAGUCCUCAGCAUGUUUGCCUUCACGCCAGG
Molecule: long non-coding RNA, 1547 nt
Filed under: Gallus gallus (chicken)
Lineage: Eukaryota; Metazoa; Chordata; Aves; Galliformes; Phasianidae
Source: RNAcentral